Molecule: unclassified non-coding RNA, 192 nt
Filed under: uncultured fungus
Lineage: Eukaryota; Fungi
Description: sequence contains ITS1
Source: RNAcentral
UUAACUAUUAUAUAGUACUCAGACGACAUGUAUAAACAGAGUUUAGGGUUCUCUGGCGAGCACUCACCAGCGUGAGCCGGUGGCCGAGGCGGCUCGCCAAAGCAACAAAGGUAUAAUUAACAUAGGGUUGGAGAGUCACCCUUGCGGGCGAGUUUCUCUGUAAUGAUCCCUCCGCAGGUUCACCUACGGAGA